GGCGUGACAGUUUGAGCAUAUUGAAACAAGAGUCCACAGCUGUUCCUCACUGCUAAGUACAGGCAAAAUGUCGACUAAAGAGGAGUAUGACUGCAUAGUAAUCGGGGCCGGCGUCCAGGGCUCCUUCACGGCUUAUCAGCUAGCCAAAAACAACCAGAAGACUCUGCUGCUGGAGCAGUUUGUCCUGCCCCACACCCGGGGGAGCUCCCAUGGCCAGACCCGCAUCAUCCGCAAGGCCUAUGAGCAGGAUUUCUACACCCACAUGAUGGAGGAAUGCUAUGAGCUGUGGGCUCAGCUGGAGAGGGAGGCAAGUGUUAAACUGUACAGACAAACGGGACUCCUGGUGAUGGGACCAGAGAACAGUCAGAGUUACCAGCUGUUUAAGAGCACCCUGCAGAGGAACAAGGUGCCUAUGGUAACGUUGACCCGUGACAACUUCAGCCAGCACAUCCCCCAUGUCAAUCUGGCUGAGGGAGAUGGAGCGGUGGUGGACAUAACAGCUGGAAUUCUGUAUGCUGACCGUGCACUCAAAACUGUACAGGGGCAGUUUCAGAAGCUGGGUGGGAUCAUAAGAGACAAAGAGAAGGUGAUGGACAUCAAGCCUGGCCCUAUUGUGACAGUGUCAAGCUCUGCUGGAGUUUAUCAAGCCAAGAGUGUGGUAAUCACUGCUGGACCUUGGGCUAAUAAACUGCUGACCCACACUGACUUACAGUUGCCACUAGAGGUGGUGAAGAUCAAUGUGUGCUACUGGAAAGAGAAGGUUCCUGGAUCAUACAACGUGAAGCAGCGGUUUCCCUGUUUCUUACUGACUGAGGGUGAGGAGUCCAAAGAACACAUCUAUGGCCUCCCAUCCAACGAGUACCCAGGCCUGGUGAAGAUAUGCUACCAUAUGGGCAGCAAGACAGACCCAGACCAGAGAGACAAGCAGACAGACAGAUCUGAUAUUGACAUCCUCCAGCGCUACAUUUCCCGCUGUUUACCAGGCCUGCUCCCUGAACCUGCAGUGGUGGAGAGUUGCAUGUACACACUAACACCUGACCGUCAUUUUGUGCUGGAUCACCACCCCUCCUACAGUAACAUUGUGAUUGGAGCAGGAUUCUCAGGUCAUGGCUUCAAGUUUGGACCAAUCAUUGGCAAGCUUCUGUGUGAACUCAGCCUGGGACAAGUGCCUUCCUAUGACCUUUCACCUUUCCGAAUCAGACGCUUCCAGGCAAAGACCAAAUCAGCUUUGUAGAGAUGUUUGUGUUGCCAAUUCCACAUGGUGUAAUCAGCUGUGUGACAUCAGGAAAUGCAAUUAUUUAACCAGAAUUAGGGGCUGAAACUAUGCCAGGGAACAUUUUGACACUUCUGGACAGAAGAAGCAGACUUUACACUAAGCUAAGAUAAGCACCAGGUGGUUCUAGCUUCAUGGUUAUCAUACAGAUAGCAUGGGGAGUUGUAUAAAUCUUCUUAUUUAACCUUAGGCAAGAAAGAAAAUAGACAUUUCCCAAAAUGUCAAACUAUUCCUUCCAAAAUCAUAUACAGGGGAAGCCUGGAUUCUGUAAUCUAGAGAGGGGAUUAAAAGGGGAAAAGAUGAUUUUGACUAUAAAUUUCACACAUUCACCCAAAUUAUUGCACAUUUGCUUGAUAAAAAGCUGUGCUGUUUCUGGUAUUUUCAUUCACUCAGAUGGAUUUCCUGAAUAUUCUGAUUCCUUAGAGUAACCUUGUGUUCAUGCACACAUACAGAAUUACUGAAAUGGACACCAGACAGUAAUAGCUGCAUAUGGAGCUAUAGAGAUUGCAUAUCAAGUGUUGACUGUUCUUCAGUAUUGUUUUAAUACUGUGAAGUUCACCAUGGUAUGUGUGGUCCGCAGUGCUAUAUAACAUCUAAUGCACAUAAUGCAGAUUUGCAUUUGAGUGAAUGAAAGAAGAAAAAAUCUGUAGAUUUAGAGGUCUAAUUGUUCUUCAGAACAAAAAGAACUUUAUGUAAUUUACUAGCAAUAAACAAAUACUGCUGUAAUUUUGA
Lates calcarifer (barramundi perch) is the source of this 2005-nucleotide RNA transcript. It is a transcript of the gene named pipecolic acid oxidase, with no coding region annotated. The record is from RefSeq and is a predicted model, not a curated record. NCBI's taxonomy places the organism in Eukaryota, Metazoa, Chordata, Actinopteri, Centropomidae. The transcript is spliced from 10 exons.